This 1934-nucleotide unclassified non-coding RNA is filed under the name Hevea brasiliensis (rubber tree). The record is from RNAcentral. Lineage: Eukaryota; Viridiplantae; Streptophyta; Magnoliopsida; Malpighiales; Euphorbiaceae.
CAAGAACACAAGAAUCUGUAUACAGAUGCCAAAAUUGGUGAUAUAUGGAAAGUAGAAACAGUGCCCAACCAAGUAAAUCUUUAGCAAUCCACCAUUUAUUAUAUCAAGAUUAUCAUCGCAUUCCGCCGCCCUCGUAAGCCUAAUCCCAACCACCGCUACCCUGCAAUCCCAAAAAAACAUAACAGAAAACAACCCAAGCCUCCAACUUUCCUCUUUAUUGCAUUUCUUCCCCCUUCACUUUCCCUUUCUCUCCUCUCUUUCCAUCUACUUUCUGUUUCUUCUUUCCUCCAAUCCACAUGCCAUAGCUCUGCCUCUCCCAAAAAAUGCCUUCUCUCCCCAAGUCCCCUCCUUCUCCUCCGUCACUUCUCCACCACGACAACUCUGAUGCCGAGCGCCGCCUCCGCGAGGCGGAGGAGCGCCUGCGUGAGGCAAUUGAAGAGCUCCAGCGUCGACAGCGUAGAGCUUCGCUUGGUGGUCCUUAUCCCCCUUGUGAUCACGCGCCUGAUGAAUCUUGUGUGGCUCACGCUAUUGGCAAUCUUUGCCAGAGUUUCCUUCUCUCCUACGGUGUCAGGGUAGGUGUUGGUAUCUUGCUUCGGGCCUUCAAGCUUGCUAAGGGACAGUCUUACUCUUCCCUCCUCGAUCUCAAGCAACUUGUAUCGGAGAAAGAUUUAAUAGUGAGAGAAGAAGCAUGUCGUGUUGGUUUACUAUUUGGGGGAUUUACGGGGUCUUAUCAUGCACUUAGAUGCUUAUUGAGAAAAUUGAGAAGGAAAGAGACGCCAUUUAAUGCAAUUUUAGCGGGUUCGGUUGCAGGGUUGUCUGUUUUAGCAUUAGAUGAUUCCAACCGGAGGCGUACUCUUGCUCUUUAUCUCUUGGCUAGGGUAGCUCAGUGUGCAUAUAAUUCUGCGAAGUCUAAGAACAGGUUUCACCUUUGGGGAAGCCAUUGGAGGCAUGGAGAUUCUUUGCUCUUUGCUUUUGCAUGUGCCCAGGUUAUGUAUGCCUUUGUAAUGCGCCCUGAGAGCUUGCCAAAAGCAUAUCGCGACUUUAUUCAGAAGACUGGGCCAGUUGCACUGCCUGUGUACAAGGCUGUGAGAGAUAGCUGCAGAGCUGGCCCAGUGGAUGUUGCCUCACUAUCAGCUUACUUAUCUAGCAGAGGGAAACUCAGUUCUGUGAAGUUGGAAGAGUUCCCUUCGAUUAUUCCUUGUUCUGUUAUUCAUCCAGACACAUAUUCAUGUUUAAAUCAUAAUGCUAAAGCAGCAUCAGCCACAUUUAGAAAAACUUUUCCGCUUUACUUCUCAUUGACGUUUGUACCAUAUGUUGUUCUACACCUUCAGAAGUUCAUGGAUGCACCUGCUCGUACAUGUUGGCUUGCUGUUAGAGAUUCUGUUCGCUCAACAACAUUCUUAUCUGCAUUUGUUGGAAUUUUUCAGGGGGUGAUAUGUCUGCAUAGAAAAGUUGCAACAAUAGACCACAAAUUUGUCUAUUGGAUCGCAGGAGGAUUGUCUGCCCUUUCUGUACUACUGGAGAAAAAAUCUAGACGUGCUGAACUUGCCUUAUAUGUUCUGCCACGAGCUGGAGAUUCAUUGUGGUAUAUUUUAGUUAACCGCCACCUGCUUCCAGAUAUUAAGAAUGCAGAGGUAGCUUUAUUUUGCGCUUGCAUGGGAGGAAUAAUGUACUACUUGGAACAUGAGCCAGGCACUAUGGCUCCAUUCCUCAGGGGUCUAAUCCGUCGCUUCCUUGCCAGCAGAAUAAGCAAUCCAAGCUCUCCAUCUAAUCGGAAUGCUUCGUACACAUAUUUGCAGACUCUUGAUGCUAUGACGUCACCAAAAUUGCAGGAGAGCAGAGAGGCUGAAGCUUCAUCGUCUCAGAAAUACAAUCUUGAAUCCAUUCCAGGGCUGUAAGUGUAUUUUGGUGGCUCAAGUAUGAUUGCCUCCUGA